This is a long non-coding RNA of Apis cerana (Asiatic honeybee), 872 nucleotides long. RefSeq lists it as uncharacterized. The record is from RefSeq and is a predicted model, not a curated record. Lineage: Eukaryota; Metazoa; Arthropoda; Insecta; Hymenoptera; Apidae.
CGCAUGUCUCUCAUUCAUGCAUCUGUCGCUCCGGCGGCCAAACACGUUUCACUCGCUCGUCGUAAAUCCCGUCAUGCGGUAUUAUCGCGCAUAAAUUCUCCUAUCGUGGACAUUUACGAUACUUCUCCAAUUACUUGAGCCGAGAUCAACUUGUGCCGCCUAAUAAACACUUUCUUACUUAUUAAGAGAGCGCUUGCGACCAUCGAAAAUGGGCCCUCUUUUGUGAAAAGAAGAUUUUCUUCCUUUUUGAAAAUACAGCGAUUCCGUUGUUCUAUAUAUAUAUAUGUUGAGCACGAAUGAAAAAUGUGAGUGAACUUGACAUUUGCCACGGAUAUUCCAAGUGGAAGAUAAAUUAUUAUUGGUUGUGAAAUUGGCGUAAAAAGAUAACACGGUGGAUUUCCAAUUAUAAUGAUUUUAAUUAUAAUGGAAGAAUGAUUUAAUAAACGGUAAGCAAUAAAAAGAAAACGAAUAUGGAUUAUGGAUAACCAACAAUCUAUCGUUGGAAGAGUCAUCAAAGGUUUUUAAUAUUUAUAUUAAUAUUCUUUCUCCCAAAAUUUUAAUUUUGUUGACAAUUUAAUAUUAAUUUGUAAAUAAAACUGCAUCGAUUAUAAAAUGCUUGGAAAAAUGAAAAUUUAAUCCAACCUCUUUGGCAAAUUGAAGACUUGGUUAAUUGAAUUGAAUGAAGAAAAUGUUAAUAUUAGAAGUGGAAAGUCGUUUGAAUAUUGCCUAAGGGAAUAACAAUUCUAAAAUAAGCUUAGAAAACAGUAUUUUAAUGAGCUAAGCUAAUCCAACUCUAACUUAAUUUAAUUUUCUCCAUAAAUUUUUGAUAUUAAGCAAAUUGAAAGGAGAAAAUAUAUUGGAACAUAUUUUAA